CCCCGGCAUGGACGCGCCCGGCCAGCCGCCCGCCGGUCCCCGAGCCGGCCCCGAGGGCGCGGCGGCGGGACGGGGCCCGAGCCCGGAGGCAGCCAUCGAGGAGGAGGAGGCAGCGUACGUGGAGAUCCGCGGCUCGCCGCGGGGGUCGGAGGAAAGCCGCCAGCCCCCCGAGCUGGCCCCGGCCGGCGGCGCGGAGCGAGCGGCCGGUUCCGCACCGGAAAGCGGAGCCGGCGGGACCGGGGAUGUUGGCGGCUCGGCGAGCGGCGGGCCGCCGGGCGGGGCUGCGGGGCCAGCAUCCUCGGACCGCGGGCGGGAUCGCCCGCCUUUCCCGGGCGCGGUGGCUGCGGCGGGAUGCGGCGCUGACUCCAGCCCCGGCUCCGGGGGAGCGGCAGGGAGAGGCGGGCCGCCGGAGGCGGGGGGCUGCCCGGAGUCUUCCUCCUCCUCCUGCCCUUCGCCGGUGACCAAGGCGGGUGGCUUCACCGCAAUGGGCGACCCGGUGUCGACGGAAGGCAAAACCUCCUCGUCCUCCUUCGGCUACGAAAGCGAGGAGGACGAGAACGCGGGGCGCAAGGCGGCCCCUGCCGGCGCCCCCCCGGGCAUCCCCCCCGCCGGCGGCCGCGACGAGGCGCACUAUAUCAGCACGCAGGAGAUCCAGCUGAGCGAGGUGGACCACGACAUGGACUUCGACGCGGGGCUGGCCGCCCGCUGGGACUUCGAGGACAACAACGUGAUCUACUCCUUCGUGGACUACGCCUCCUUCGGGAGCGACGAGACCCCGGGGGACACGCCGACGGAGGAGGAGGAGGAGAAUAGUUGCUACCUCAGCACAACCACCAGCGACCCCAACAACCAGACGGACAGCAUCGACAACACCAGCAGCACCGAGAUCGUCAGCCUUACUUCCGAACACGACACCCCCGGCCGGGACAAACGCGCCAGCUCGGGGGAAAGCCCGUCCAAGCAGUCCGGCCGCCCCGGCGGGAGCCCGGCCGCCCAGCUUCUCCUAUCAAUCAAAGCCGCUUCCCGGGCUAUAAAUGAGUCUAGCAACGUGCGCGGAAAGCAAAACACUAUUUACGCUGCCAAGCAUGAAAGCGACAUGAGCCUCCGUGUCCCCGCGGCUCCUGAACACAAUGCGAGUUUAAAACCGGACGCGGUCCGCGACAACGCGAAAAAAUUCAUCGCGGUCCCCGCGCGGCUGCAGACCCGGUGCGGGGCCGCCAGGGCGGGGGAGCACUCGAGCGGCGCCUCCAGCGCCGUCAGCGAGCUGGACGAUGCCGACAAAGAAGUGCGAAACCUGACGGCCAGGGCUUUCCGCAGCCUGGCGUACCCCUACUUCGACACCCUGCGCCCCGGCUCCCGCGCCUCCUCCGCCUCCCUGCCCGACAAUGCCCUCGGCAUCAACCGCUGGUCCACCUACCUGGACCUCAAGUGCGGCAGCCUGGGGCAGAGAGCUGAGCCCAGCCUGCUGCGCUCCGGCCGGUCGCAGACCAAAGCCCUCGAGUUCGUGGUCAGCAAGCUCGAUGGGGAGAUUGCCCACGUCGAGGCGCCGCGGCGGCUGCGGGCGGCCUCCCGAGUGGUGACCCUGCUGGACCUCGGCGAUGCCCCCGAAGCCGGGCAGCCCCCCGAGGCGGGCGGCGGGGAGCCGCCGGCGGCGGAGGGCGGCGGGGUGGCAUCCAGCAAGAAGUCCAAGUUCGCCUCCAGCCUCCUCAAAAACGUCAUCUCCAAGAAGAUGCAGCUGGAGCACGAGUUCAAGAUGGAGCGGGGCGAGAUCACCGACACCUCUUACACCGGGUUGAGCGCCGGACGGGAGCCGGAGCCCGCCGCUGCCGGCAGCCGGGAGCGGCAGCGGGAGGGCGGUGUGCAGCGGCAGAGCUCCCGGCACUCGGAGGGCGGCUCGGACAGCACCGCGGCGACGGCAGAGGAGGCAGGCGAGGGAGGCGGUGGCCGGUCGCCGGCCUCCAAGGCUUCGACGCCCCGCGAGGGGAGCCGCAGCCUGGACCGAGCGCUGUCGGAGGAGCUAUGCGAGGUGAAGCGCAGCGCCUCGGAGGCCAUCAAGGCCACCUUCCUCCGCAGCCAGAACAGCGCCUUCAGGUCCUGGAAGGAGCGGGAGGCGGAGAGGAAGGAGGAGAGAGCACCCAUCGGCAAGCUGAAGCUCUCCUCCAGGCACGACUGGCGGGCCGACCUGGGCGAGAUCUCCGCCGGCAAGUCCACCAAGAUGUCCCGCUUGUUCGUCCCCGCCAUCCAGCACACCCCCCGGGAGAAGGAGCCCGGCAAGCAGGCGACCAAAUGCUCCGCCGCCGCCGCUUCCUCGCCCCUCGCCGCCAAGCCCAAAGCCCCCGAAAUCAAGAUCAGCCUGGGCAGCCUGCAGCAGCCCCGGGACGCCGCCUUCAGCAUCGCCCAGCUGCUGACGCCGCAGAUCGCGGGCCGGCCGCCAGAGGAAGGCAGGGGCCAGCAGCCCAAGCCGCCCAAGGCCGGCGACGGCCCCGACAAGGUGCCGCAGUUCCUGGUGCGCGACGUGAGGGACGGCAAGUACAGAGCCCAGGGACCCCUCCACCAGGUGCGGGACGUGCGGAAGCUCAUCAAAAGCUCCUACAGUUGCGACUCGGGGGAUAACAGCAGCGACAAAGGUAGCGUCGCUUCCGACCAGGGCGGCCCGGAGCAAAAACCUCGGCAGCAGCUGGUCAUCGCCGGCGUCCCCAGGUCCCUCUCCCCCGUGGUCAUCACCUGCCAGGCGGUCGGCCACGCCACCACCAAGCCCACCGAGGCGGGGGCCAAGGCGGGGGGCAGGGCGCCGGCCUGCCCCCCGGAGGGCACCGUCCUGGUGCACCGCACCUCUGGGAGGCUGCCGGUGGCCACCAUCGCCCCGAACAAGAGCGACCCGCGCCAGCCGGCCGUGCUGAAGAUCGUCUCUAAAUCCGCCGCGCCCUGGCGGCACCAGCCCCCGCCGCCGCCCGCCGAGAGGGGCAGGGGACCGGAGGAGGACCCGCGAGAGGAGGGCAAGGCGGCGCCGGUGCAAAACGCGCUGGAGAAGCUGACGGCGGCGGUGCGGAGCAUGGAGGAGCUGUACAGCUUCAACAAACGCGAGUGGAAGCGCAAGAGCGAUCCGCUACCCAUCACCGACAGCCACGUCCUCUCCCUCAUCGCCAGCCAGGAGAGGGGCACCGGGCCCCGGCCGGCCGCCGCCGCCCCUCCACCGCCGCCGGCGGAUAAGGCAGAGGAGCCGUCGGGCAAGGGGCCGGGAAGCGAGCGGCUGCCUCGCCGCCCUUCCAACAACGCCGCCGACAAGGUCUCAGCCAAGGCGGCCGCCUUCGAGAACCUGGCCCGGCAGCGGCAGCGCGGCCCGCCGCCCCCCCGCGCUGAGCCCCCCGCCGCCCCCCGCGCCCUCCUCACCCUCCGCGGAGCCGGAGGAACCGGAGCCCCCGCGCCGGGCAAGCCCCCCUCCGAGGGCGGCCUGCGGGGCCAGGCGGCGCCGCGCUCCUCCCGGCUGCCUGCGGGCGGCGGCGAUGCGGAGCGCGGCCCGGACUGCGGGAACUACCUGGCCCUGCCGCUGAAGGCGGCCGCCGAGCCCGGCUCCCCACCCUCCCCGGUGCCGGUGUCGGGGGCGGGCGGCGGCGUCCGCCCCAGCCCGGUGUCGGCGUCGGCGGCGGCGCUGUGCAGCCUGCAGCCCUUCGGCACUGCCAAGCGCCCCGGCAGCCCCGGAGCCCCGCCCGCCGAGGAGCCCCCCGCCGCCGCCCCGCCGCCCGCCGAGGGUCCGCCCGCCACCCUCUACCGCCCGCCGCUGCCCUUCGCCGCCCUGCCCGGCGCCGCGCCGCCGCCGCUGCUCUGCUUCUCGCCCUCCAUGCCCGCCGCGACGACAGCGGCCGAGCCCUUCCCGCAGACGCAGCGCAAGGUGCUGCUGGACGUGAGCACCGGGCAGUACUACCUGGUGGACACGCCGGUGCAGCAGCCCCUCAAGCGGCGCCUCUUCGACCCCGAGACUGGGCAGUACGUGGAGGUGCCGGUGCCCCAGCAGCCGGCCGUCGCCCCCGUCCCGCUGCCCCUCUCUCCCCUGGCCCUCAACGCCGGGGCCUAUGGCGCCACGUACAUGCUCUACCCUGGUCUCCUGCCCACCGCUGCCGUGCUGCCUACCGGUGCCCUGCCACGCCCGCUAUCCCACCCGGGCAGCGAUGCCAGCGCCCCGGCUGAUCCUGGCAGCCCAGCGGCAGAGGCAGCCUUCGCUGAGAGCCCCUACUACGUGGCCACUGGCAAGGGCCCACCGCCACCACGGCGUGGGGCAGCUGAGGCGAAGCCGGUCAUCAGCAUCACGGCGCCGGCCACCGGCCCACGGAUCGUCGCGCCUCCCUCCUUCGAUGGCACCACCAUGCGCUUUGUGGUGGAGCACCGGUGAAGAGCGCGGAUCAAGAGGCAAAGAGAAACAGCAGCAACAGUCAGAGGUUUGAGUUUAUCACCCGUUUGCACUGAGUUUUGUUCAGUUGCAUGUUUGAGGGUAAAUUUUUUUCUUCUGGUGUUUGGGUUAUCUUAUUUUGCUUCCGUAGUUCUUUUAAUUUGCAAUGUAGUAGAUUAUUUGUUGAAUGAAACCUUACUGAAAUGCUUUAUAUGCUUACUUCUUACCUGCUUAUAAAUAUUUUAUUUCCAAAAUGCUAUUCUUUUAUCCUAGGUAUAAAUUAAGUUGUUUUCAUUGCCCCUUAUGGGGCAUUCAGGACAGGCAAAUUUUCAAUUUAGGUUGAGCUCUGCCGUGCUACUUGAGUCAGUCUUGUCAGUAAAGUCUUGAUAGAGUGUCUAGAAACAGUGGCAAAAGGUGUUUUUCCAUUUGGUCUAUAGGCCGGAUUCACAUCGCUUGUACAAGGAGUCAGUUGUUAGUGAGACUUCAGUUUAGACACUCACUGUUUUUGAAAAGGAUAUUUCUAUCUUAUAGCAACUAUUUAAACAAAAAGCUCUAGCUUCUCGAUCUUAUUUCACUCUUUAAAAGUGAAACCCACCAUAUUUCCUGGUGUGAUUUGCCCCUCAUUUCCUGGGUGGGGGGGUCUCCUGCCAUGUCACGCAGCUAGCUUGCCUGCAAUGCCUGGUGUAUCACUGCUGUGGGUGAUGUUCUCGGCAACUUGCUCUUUCUUACUGGUGGCGUUAAUAACUGCAUCGAUUCUCUGCUUUUUUGCGUUAUGUCAGAGCUCUGCCGUUGCUCACAGGCGUGAAAGCUGCCGCAAAAGAUCGGUGAUGCAGAAACUUUCGUACUCGUUACAGAAGGUCAUUCAGCAGUUUGAAGACUUCAUCUUUUACCAUUAAAUGAUGCCCAGACGCACGUUGCUCCAAUGUGGACAGGGAUACCCCCUCCGUGUUGAGGGUAGGGAUAAGGAAGAAGAAUCAUGCUCCUUUAAUCUGAAAUACACUUGGUAACUCUAAACAUGCAUCCUAAAAACUGUUUCUACAGUUUUCUCAUUUUUUUGCUUCAUCAUACAAAACAAGUGUGUAAGUUUCUUGUUUUCUCCUAAGUACCCCCCAGUUUUGGAGUAUGCAUACAUUUCAUUAUGCGAGCAAUACUAAAUUACUGCAUUAUUUUCUGCAAAGUUGUUUUUAUAUUGAAGCCAAUCUGCAGGCUUUAGGCAUUGCCUCUGUCCUGGUGGCCAGCGGUAGUAGUGCCACUACAGCUGUUUGUAAAACACAGGGUGUAAAUGCAGCAGUGUUCCAGUGUGGAUUGAUGCACAGGUUCAUCCAGGUCCCUGGAACGUGUUGUGAUGAUCCAGUGCAACUCUUUAAAAAAAAAUAAAGGCCCCAGCUGCAUCUCAUUGCAGCAAAUGAGGGUCCUCCCCAUAGGUUUCGGUGACAAUUUGCAAUCAGAUAUCUAUUUUGUACUCUGUACUUCUGCACUUGAAAUUGCAAACGGAGAGAUCUCUAGUGUUCAGGUUAUCUUUAGUGUUUAUUUUUUGGCAUGGUUCAAAACAGAUUGUGUAGAUGUCGGAAAACACAUUUGAUUGCUUUCGUUUUUCAUUUGCUCCUCUGUAAUGUGUUGAACAUUACAAGUUGCCUUAACUAUGACAGUGUUUAAAUACUGGAAAGCCAGAAAUUGAAUGUAAUAUUUUUACAUCCUGGCUCUAAAGGAGAGGACAGCAUUUAUUUUUCUUUAAGACUGCAGUCUAUUCUUCCUUAAAUUGCAACAUUGCUGAAAACACAAUCCUAGUGAUUCCCCUGGGAGAGGAGUUUUUUAAUGUUACAGCCCCAAUAAUAUGUAGUAAUUUCCUUAGCCAUUGUUCAAAACAUUUAUCGGAGGGCUACAUCCACGCUAUCUAUAUUUGCUAAGAAAAUAUUUCUCCUUUGAACAAGAAAAUAUAAAAUAAGAUUACUCAAAAUGCAGUGAUGUGUAUGUCCAUCUAUCAAACUUUGCUUAAACUGAUGAUUUUGUUGCCAGCAACCAGUUUGUCUCAGUAAAAGAGAAUUGUUAUCAUGACAGUAAAACUAAACUACGAUAGUGUGUUUCCUUGCCCAAAAUUUCAGUUCAGUGAAGCACUUUGGAAAGCAAAUACAUGUAAGAUCAAGCCUAAAUUAUUUAGCAUAAAGCUUUCUUGAGGUAACAGGUUGGAAAUCUAAAAUCUAAAUGCAAACUCAAAAGUCUGUAUUUAAGCAUUUGCCCACAGGCAGAAUUUUCCUGCGCCUGUUCUCAAGGUUUCCUGCUGCUAAGGAAGUUUCAGGGUUUCCCAUUCUUAAAGAAAGCCCCAGGUUUUAAUUUCCAUGAGUAACUCUCAAGAUACAGAAAACUCAGCUACAACUGUCUUUAACCAUACAUGUGAGAUUGUAUUUCAACGCAAUUUAUUUGUUUACAGGCACAAAUUGAAAUUGCCCUCAGGAUGAAAUGCACUGCAACUAUACAGAUAGUGAGUGAUUUAACAUAUAUCUUCUCAUUUAUCUUCGUCGUUGUGGAAAUCCAAUGACAAAAUACUAUCCUAACCCUUUUUAAAGAGCUUGGCAUGCCCAGCUAGAGCAUAUAGAGUGUAAGCUUAAUCCCCGUGCUCUUCGGUUGUAUGGUCUACAGUUACAAGCUUUAACUUCCUACUGGGAUUUGGGCUGAAUGCCUCUUAAAGAAAAUGAAUGCUUCUUCAACGUUUUCAUGACUGAUAAGUCCGUAGAUGUUACGACUAGAGUAUUGGUGUGAAACAAAACAGUACUUUGGACUGCAGGACAGUGCAGGUACCAGAGUAGAUCAUCCACUGUGACAUGCACGUGCACGGUACGUACAUUAUAAUACUAGCAUCCGUGUUUAAAAAUGUUUCUGUCCUAUCUUUUCCUAUAUCGGUGCUCGGAGUGAAGUUUCAUGUAGCAGUUUACAAGAUAUAGGUUUGCACACACAAACUCAGGGUUUACAGUUUCACCCGGUGUACUUGAAAGGAAAAAAAUUGCGUAGAACACAAGUGCCAAGGAUUUCAACAUGUAUUUGUUGGAGGAAAAUUUUGCAAGGUUUUUGGACCUGUAUGUGGAGACGAAAGCAAUGAAAUGAGGCAAUACCAACAGAUAUUUAUUUUCUCAGGGGAGAUUUCUUCAGUGGAAUGUGUCAAUCCUAAUGUCAAACAGUGUUUGCUGAAUUUUGUCUAUUACUAAAGAGACUCCAUGUUUGCAUCAAGGGGUCAGUUUUGCAAGGAGCUUCGCUUUGCAGACUCAGUCCAGCAAAGCCUUCACAUGCAUCUCUGACUUCAAAUAUUGAAGCAGAUUCCUGGAACUUCAGUGGAAGCACAAUCAAUUUUUUUCACUUGUCAAUGCAACACUUUGCUGAACUUGGUCCAGAGUGCUGAGUGCCUUGCAGACCCGAGGCCCGGGUUCUUCACUUUAUACGUAUAAAACCGGAGCUCUGGGCUUGAGUCUAGCCAGACCCAGCAGAUAAUGCCACAAAAGGUUGCCAGAAAAAAAAUCCGGUAAUAUGGUGCUCCUCCUCGUAUACCCAGUGGUGAAUUUCUCCAGCUGAUGGGGUGAUGUGUAACCACGUAUCUUGGAUUAGAGUCAAGCCCUCCUUGUCAGGGUUCACAAGCUGCUAGUAUUAUAUGUUUCACGGUGCAGUCAUAGUACAUUACAGCUGAAAUUCACCCCGUGUGCAAAACAGGGCAAAAUCCUGGCACCACUCGAGUUCCCUCCCAGCCCUGCUGUCAGGGUUUGGGGUCUGCUACAACCGGCCAGCUGCUGCCACACGUUUUGGGUCAGAAUCCAAUUAAAAGUUUGAGCAGGACUGGAGUGAUGCACGAAUGUUGUUCUGGUCUUUUGCAGCAGGGUUGGUUUCACUCAGUUAAAUUUAAUCCUUGGUGAAUCACUUGGUGAAUGAUUUAAAAUGUAUUUAUGGGUUGUGUGGUUGGUUUUUUUUUUCCCUUGUCUGCAUUCAAAGCUACGCUUACUCUCUAGUGUUGAUGGCCAAAGUGUCAUUCCUUAUGCUUAUAAAUUACCAUUAACUUGUGGCUACCUGAGAACACAUACUUUAAAAACGCUUGUGGUUUUUUCCCUUUUUCUGUUCUUUGUUUUCUUUUUUUUUUCUCUUUUCUUUUUUUUCUUCCUUUUUUAAGGGAGUGGGCUAUCAGUGUAAAGAUAUUUAAAAGUGCAAGUGUGAAGUAAGGAUAAUGAUUGUUAAGAGGAUGUGGGUGGUAUGUCUGAUGAGAGAGCGGUGGGCUAUAAGGCAAAGGGGAAAAUGCCGUGAACGCAUUGUGUUGAUUGUUGCCUGUGGGGGGAAAAAAAUAAAAACAGCAGAUACAUAACUGGAGAAAAAUGGACUCUUUGAGCUGCUCUCAACGUAGACAACAUCAUUGUGGCAAGUGCGAAGUCGAAGUGGUCCCGCUGCAGGAUGCCGUGAGCCUGGGAUUGAAGGACAGCAGAGUCGCUCUGAGAAUUGCACUAGCAGCGUGUUGCACAUCAGGAACGCUUCAGUAUGGAACGCUUCACGACCACACAAGAACGGACUGUCUGAAACCGCUGAGUACCAAAGUUUGUAACUGAAUGAGUUAGCAUUUGUAUUAUGUUGGGGUUGGUUUUUUUGAAUGUUAUGAUAAAUAAAAUGUAUUUUUCAGUAAA
Molecule: RNA transcript, 9033 nt
Organism: Grus americana (Whooping crane)
Lineage: Eukaryota; Metazoa; Chordata; Aves; Gruiformes; Gruidae
Gene: C4H4orf54
Gene name: chromosome 4 C4orf54 homolog
Exons: 3
Source: RefSeq, a predicted model, not a curated record